GCCUUGAUCCACCAUGCCAUUAACAGUGGCAUCACUCUACUUGACACCUCCGAUAUUUACGGGCCCCACACCAAUGAAAUCCUUCUGGGAAAGGUAAUAAUUUGCUGCCGCUCUCCCCUUUCUUUCAAAGGGUAUGGCUAGAAUUGAGUAUAAAUUAGUGGUAGUUGGUACAUUUAGCUACCUAGUAAAAAUUGGGUGUUUAUUGAACAUUUUAGUGCACAAUUUUGUCACAAAUAUCUGUGAAAUGGGCUUUUGUUGUUUAUGUAAAUAUGUAAUCUUGUUUUAAUUUGUUUGGGGGAGCAGGCUUUGAAGGGAGGAAUGAGGGAAAGAGUUGAAUUGGCUACUAAAUUUGGUAUCAGCUAUGCGGAUGGUAAAAGGGAAAUUCGCGGUGACCCGGCUUAUGCGAGAGCUGCAUGUGAGGCCAGCUUGAAGCGUCUGGAUAUUGAUUGUAUUGAUCUUUAUUACCAACAUCGCAUUGAUACACGAGUUCCCAUUGAAGUCACGGUUUGCCCCCCUUUUUUGUAUAUGUCUCAGUCUUGAUUCAUUAUGAGAUUUUUUUUUUUCCUUUCCCCCUCUUCCAUUGCUUAAUUCUUUCAUUUUUUUCACUUGCUUGUCAUUUACAUUUUUUGGCAAUGUGCUGAACCCUGUUAUUUACAUCAUCUGAUUUAUUGUUUGGUAAAAGUUAGUUAGAACCUGAAAAAGAGAAAAAUGAAAAGAAAAGAAAAACAAAUCUAUUUAACUAAUAGCAUGCAUAUUAAUUGUCUAAUCAUCAAAGAAGAUGGGACAAUAUCUUAUUUGAUGACUGUCAAUAAGAAAAUGCAUUUUGUCUCGCUGCAUGCUUGACGGAGAGACUUUUUGAUCAUCAUGAAUAACCCCUGAGCAAGUAGUGGCAUAGUGCAGUGCUUGUCACGUCAGGAGCGGUAAUCCCUUUUUAUUUUAGCAGGAUUUCUUUAUUGGAAACUUUUUUAUUAAACUAACAAUCUGUUAUGGUAAUGAAGUGUGAUUGUCUCGAAACAGUCUCCAUUUAUCGUUAUGGACUUUUUAUGGAUCCUAUCUACUUAUCAAUCUUCCUAUUGAAUAUUCACUAAUUCUUUUUUGUAUCCUUUUGGAAGAUUGGAGAACUCAAGAAACUAGUUGAAGAGGGUAAGAUAAAGUAUAUAGGUCUGUCCGAGGCUUCUGCCUCAACAAUUAGACGAGCUCAUGCUGUCCAUCCAAUAACAGCUGUGCAGUUGGAAUGGUCCUUGUGGUCACGAGAUGUGGAGGCAGAGAUUGUUCCUACUUGCAGGUAAGGGAAUACUGAAUUGUUUGUAGAUUUAAAGGAAAAGAAAUUAUGAGAGGAAUUGUUUAAUAUGUGCCAACGGAAACCUUGUGAUUGCCCAGGGAACUUGGCAUUGGAAUUGUUGCAUACAGUCCUCUAGGACGAGGAUUUUUUUCCUCAGGGCCUAAGUUGGUUGAAAGCUUUUCAAAGGAAGAUUUUAGACAGGUUUGUAAAUCUACCAAGCAAUUACUAGCAUUUGGGAUGAAUUACAUGUGCAUUUAGCCUUAGAAUGUUUUCUAGCAUCAUUAUUGUAAGUUUGCAAGCCUGGCAAGCACCUUCUCUGAAGGUACCCUGGAUCGACUUGCAUAAAGCUCUGAAUUUUUUUUUUUUAAAACAACCUGUACCUAUAGUUCACUCCAAUGAAACGCAUGGAAAAUCUAGAGUAAUAAGAAAAUUCAAUAACUUAAUACACUCCAAAUUCAUGUCCAGUUGACAUCAUGGCUACCAAAACUUACUCAUCAUUAAGUAAAUGUCUUUUGUUUAUUUCUUCAGUUAGAAGCUCAUGCGUUUCAGAUUGCUGUUCACAUUACACCUGUUUAGUUUUACUCUAUACUAAUGAAAUUUGUUAUAGUUUUCAAAUGUGCUUUCUGAUAUCAUGUAUAUUAAUUUCUUUGAAAAUAAGUCGUAUUUUCUUUGCAAUGAAAGUAUGAGGAAUUGCAUAUGCAAGUUUUGUUAAUUCUUAAAAAAUUUAACAUGAAAUUAAAUAUUAAAUGGAUGUACACAAUAAUGCGUCCCCCUAAUAUCGAGUUGAAGGUUAAAGUCCUUAUCCGGGUUUGGAUCAUUAAAAGGACACCCGAAAAAAAAAAAGGGUAUUGUACCCUUACCUCAACUAUUGCUGGAUCCUCAAGAAGUUUAAUAACUAGGACUCUCCAAGACUUCUUCAUUAUUAUGGUAGUUUCCAUAUUGUUGCAUUGCAUUUUUGCAUUGCUUAUGCCUUAUGCUUCCUAAAGUGAAAUUCCAUUGACCCAUCCAAAUGGGGUUUACUCCUUGUGAGACAUUUUCUUCAGUUCCCAAAAUGUUUUUCCAUAAUUCACCUCUUCUCUUUGCGAGAAGUCCCUUGACUAAUCAUUUUGUCAAUUUAAGACACUGGAACAAUUACAAUUUUCUAAAAACAACUUGAUUCAGUCUUACGUAGUUUUUCAUAACUACAUCUAUUGUUUGCCUAAUUUAACAUUUUUUUCCUGAUCCAAGGAUCAUAGGAAUCAUAGUGAAGCUAUUCUUUUGCCUCAAAGAUUGUAACUCAAUAGUUUUGGAUGGAAUCAGAGUGAAUGCAAUUAAUCCACAGAUAUGGAGGAGUGCUCUCUGAUGGCAAUGAUAUGUUACCAUGCAUAUCCAUCUCGCUAUUUCAUGUAGUUCUUUUUUUCACCUUUCGGUAUCUUUCCAAGCAUUUUCAUGCAGUCCCUUUAACGUUCAUAUAAUUUAUCCUGCCCUAGGACAUGUUUUAGUAGUUAGCUGCCUCUGAUUAUAGAACUGUAAGCUAAUCAGCAUCUUUCUUCUCAGAUUCUGUAAGAAUUAGUGAGAUUGCCUACUGACAUGCAUGAAAACAACACAUACAUCUCAUACCAAAGCCAUUAACAUCUUUGAGCCUUUCUUUGUGGACAAGUCUGUAUUCUCUAGCAUUUCAUAUUAUUAUAUGCAGCAGAUUAGGGCUUGGUACACUUAGGAACCCAGUGAAAGUGUUUUAUCCAAAAUGUUCUUUCUUUAAAGGUUCAGUUUCACUUUUAGUGUCAAAUGUUCUUUUUCUAAUUGUUGCAGUAUCUACCGAGGUUCCAAGCUGAAAAUUUGGAGCAUAACAAAAAGUUAUUUGAGCGUGUUAAUGAAAUAGCAACGAGGAAAGGAUGCACCCCAUCACAGCUUGCAUUAGCAUGGGUUCAUCACCAGGGAGAUGACGUAUGUCCGAUUCCUGGAACCACUAAGAUUGAGAACUUCAAUCAAAAUAUUAAAGCUCUGUCCGUGAAACUAACUCUAGAAGAAAUGGUGGAACUUGAAUCCAUUGCUUCAGCAGAUGCUGUAAAGGGCGAUCGGUAUGGGGGUAAGGCAUCUACUUACGAAGACUCUGAAACUCCACCUGUGUCUUCAUGGAAACCUUCUUAAAGGCCAUUGGUAUCCUGUCAUCUUCGACCGUGUUGCACAGUCCUCAAGCAUAUUGAGAGUUCUAUAAUUGCUAUGAGUUCCUAUGUUGUGUUUGGAAUAAAAUCAUUGUCUUUUGCAUGUGGAUUCUAUUUGUAUAAGAUAUAGAGGUUGGAUUUAGUGUAAGCAAAGGAUAUGAGACACAUUAAAUAAAACAACACGGCUGUAAUAUUAUUCUGAAAUUUCUGGACCCAUUGACGAUCCUGGACUUGUGGUGUAAUUGCUUGCUUAUUGGUUUACCAGAUGAUUGUGUACGACUAUUUUCUUGACCAGUGGCCGAGGGGGCCGACAUUUUGAGGGCCCCGGCUUUGAAUAUCAGUCGCCGGGCCGGGGCUUGCAUUACCAUCGGGCCUCCAUUACCAUCAGUAGGCCCGUUGAAUAAAUUUUGCCUGAGGAGUUAUUUGUUAAUCUACUAAGCCUUAAAUUUUAUUAAUUUUAAUUUUGUUAAGAUUUAUUUGUUUAUUUUUUACCAUUUAUGUAUGUUUUUAAAUAUUUAUAUACGAAUAAAAAAAGUAAAUUUUUGUAAUUUUCAUCUAAUGAGAAGAUACAUGAAUGAGAAAAAAAUAUUAUAUUUUAAAAUAUAUUUAUAAAAUAUAUUUAUUUCUUUUAAAACAGUAAAAUUUAAUUUCUUUUUUCGUUUUAAUUUGCAAGCACAUAAACGGUACUUUACUCUCACAGUAAAAGUCAAUUCGGCUGGUCAGUAUUCGGAUUAAUUUCACAAAGUACCCUUCCUUUUUGACAAAUGCUAUUUCAUCCCUGCUUGAACGACAAUAUUCAAUGUGCACCCUAAUUAAUGAAAACAUUUGUUAAUGCCAAAAAGAGUUUUAAAAAAUAAAAAGUAAAGUUAAAUAUUCUAUGAGAAAUUAAGGUGGCGUUUGUUUUUUUGUCUGAAAUCUGAAUAGACCUGAAUUAGUCUGAAUUCUGAAUAGAUCUGAAUGUCUGAAUCUGAAUAACAUGUUUGUUUUUUCGUCUGAAUCUCGGAAAAUAAGUAUUAAGUUGUUUAUUUUUUUCAACUGAAAAAGCUGAAAAUAUGUACUUUUACUUUUGUAUCCUUAUUAAAUUUAAAAGUCAAAUAAAUAAUAUAUUAAAUACCACAAUAUUUUAACAUUUAUAAGUAAAACUAUAUUCAAGUGAAUACAUAAUUAUUUUAGAAUUUUUAUAUAUAAAAUACCAUAAAUUUUAAAUUUUAUCGUAUAUAAUAUAAGAAAGAAAAAACAAGGAUAUUUUUGUGGGAUAAAUGUCUAUGGGUGAGUUUUGAGAUAGACAUGAAAAAUAAAUUAUAAAACAUGGAUAUUUUUGACAUUAGUAAGUAAUUGACUUAAUUCAAAUUUCUCCAUUAAGUAAAAAGCUAAAAAAAUUGGCUUAUUUUAUUAAGUCAAAAUUAUCUAAAAAGUCUCAUUAAGUUAUAAAAACAAACACAUCUAAUUAACUUAAUUAAUUAAGUUAAGUCACUUUAAGUCAUUAAGUUAAAAAACAAACGCCACCUUAAGUAUAUAAUUUUUCUAAUAAGACAUUUUCGAAUACAUAUAUACUCAAUUGUUAUUGUUCUAAUAAGAUAUUUCCAUUUCGAUUUUUUUUAAGUAUUACUAUUAACAUUAUAAAUACAGAAAAAUUUAGUAAGAUCAUUUACAUUAAUAAGCAUGAGAAAAUAUAAAUUUUAUUUAUUUUUAAUAAAUUUUAAUAUUUUAUUAUUCAAUUAAUAUUCAAAAUUGUAGAUACGGAAAUGUAAAUAAAAAUAUCGGUAUGAUUUUUUUAUUUAAAAAAUAAAUAAUUUAAUCUUAUAUUUAGAAGAUAUUCAUGGAAAAAAAAUUUGUUAAAAUUUUAUAUAUUUUGACUUUACUCUUAAAACUAGCUUCACACAAUUAACAUAUGGGAAAAUAUGACUGUACACCUCGUUAAUUCAUUAUAAUUACUCCACUCCAGUAUUUCAAAAUGUCAUUAAUCAAUCUCAGCCAUUAGUUUUUCUGUUAAAUUUAAUUAAGGGUGGUGUAACGAUAUUCAAUUUAUUUGGUUGUACAGUAAAAUUUACCCUGAAUUUUAUUUUCUAACAUAUAAAAGCCUAAUUAAAAUUCUUCUUUUAUCCGACUAAUUAUCAUUGGUAGAUUUAUCAUGGUAGAAUUUAUGUCAGAAUUUAAAAAUAAAUCACAUGUGCUAUUGUACACAUAAAAAAAAACACUACAUACUUGAUAUAUUUUCUUUUAAAUAAUUUUUGUUGUUGACUAUGUUAUUUUAAAAUCUAUAUUUUUGUAGUUGAUUGGUUUUUUUUUUUUUUUCAAAUCGACACUAGAUAUUGUUUAUAUAAUAUAAACUAAUUAUUUUAUGGAAUUAUUUAACUUGAAAAUAUUUCUAGCACGUAGAUAUUAAGACUGUGGAGCUGGCUUUACAAUUUACAAUCUUGGAUUUGAUUAAUUAAAAUCUUGAUUGAUUAAAAUUUUAGAUUGUAAAAUAUCUACAGAAUUAUAACAAGUUAAAAAAGAAAAACCUUGAGAUUAAGAAUCUAAAUGAGAAAAUGGAAACAAUUUGGACAUAGAGGAUUCAUGUGUCAAAUAUCUAAAAAUUUGUGAUUUUCUUGGAAAUGUUAGAGAAAAAAGGGUAAGCAGUGUAAAUAACUCAUUUUUGGAUAAGGGUGGCAAUGAUUUGUUUAUUCGAUUCGAUGCAAAUUAAAUGAGUUUAGGUUUGAAAAAAAUUGAUUUGUUUAAUAAAUGGGUAAAUUCGAUUCGAUUCGCUUAUUAAAUGAACCGAAUCCGGGUUUGAGGACAUUAAUUUGUUUAUUCGUUUAAGAUUCGUUUAAUAAAUGCAUUAUAAACUAAUUGAAUAUGAUCCAUUCAUUUAAAAUUUGUUUAUUAUUCGUUUAAUCAAAUUACUUAUUUAUCCAUAAAUAUAUAUGAAAAAAUUUUAAAGUUUGAAGACUAAUAUAGUAAUUAUAAAUGAUAAUAAAUUUGUAUUUUGUAAGAUGUUAAAUUUUGUCUUUUUAUAUUUUAUUUUGCUUAAUUUUUAUUAUUAAUUAUAUUUUUGCAAACAAAUUCAUAUUAAAUUCGAUUUGUUGUAAAUUCAUUGUAGGAUAAACGAAUAGUGAAUGAAUCCAUAUUCGAUUUGAUUCAUUUAUUAAUUCUACUAAACGAAUUAAAUGAAUCAAACCGAAUAUUCAUUUAAUAAACGAAUUGAAUCCGAAACCUAAGAUUUCAAUUCGUUUAAUAAACAAAUCAAAUUCAAAUCAACAAAAUUUUAACCUAAUUUAUUUAAAAUUUAAUUUAAAUACGAUCGAAUUAUUCAUUUUGCCACUACUAUUUUUGAGAAAAAAAAAAAAAAAGAAAGGGAGGCCACUGCCAGUCUACCAUUAGCAAAAGUAACUACAGUAGAUGUAUGCAAGUCUUUAGUUUUAACCAAUAUUUCGUUUAUAUUUGACCUUCCACAGUCUUCCCCGUUUGUCUGUUUUUCAGUUUUCUCACUAAAAUUUUCUUGCUUCCUUUUGCAUCCAGAAACGAGGAGAUAUUUUAUUCAUUCUCUUGUCGUUUUUGUUGCUGCAAGUAAAGAGAUUUUAGAGUAAUUUAUUAUACUAUAUUCGCUUAAUAAAAAUAUGACAUAUGUAUAUUUAUUUAAAAAAUUGUUAUAUAAAUAAUAAUUAUAUUUAGUUCAUGUACAUAUGUUAUAUAUGGGUGUUGAGACUUGAGUAAUUUAAUUAAUAGAAAGUAAUUGAGAAAAUGGCAGAGAUAAGAAUGGCAGAAAUCCCACGGGAUGAGGACUCUUGGGAAUUUUUCACAUUCGGGGAGGAUACAUGAAUAAAUUUUUACUUAAUUUCUUAUUCGGAGAAGAGACAUAGAUAAUUUUUUACCCAACUUCUUAUUUGGAGAAAAGAUAAAGAUGAGGUAAAAUCCACAUCCCCUCCCUAUUUUUUCCAUUUUAAUUUUAAUUUUAAUUUUUUAAAUUAUUAGUAAAUAAAUAAUAAAAUGUCAAUGAUUAAUUAUUAAAUAUUAGUAUAAAUAACAAAUAACAAAGUAAAUUAUAUUAUUAAACUUUUGGGCCUAAUUGAUUAGAGUCAUAUUUGGAUGAGAAAGUUAUGCCACAGAUGGAAGAUUUUAAUAUUGAGUUGGUGGAAAACAAAUACCUGUAAGUAUAUUAUAUUGGCACGAAUUGCCAGAAAUAUUUUGGCAAUCCUAAUUACAAUUGUUGCUUCUGAAUCAAUUUUUAGCACUAGUGGAAGAACAAGAGAAGCAGAAGGCGCAAGAAGUAAAUAUUUUUAUUAGAAAUAUUGAUUAAGUAUUUAUAUCCAUUUAAUUUAUUUCAUUGUUGAUAUAAAAAUAAUUUUUUUUUAUUGUAUGAUUAUGAAGAUUGAGGAAGAUAAUUAUUAUGUUGAUUUGUAUUUUGUAAUGGAUUAAUGUUAAUGUAAGAUAUAUCGUCAAGUUUUAUUUUUAUUUAAAUAUAAUUAAAUUAAGAUAAAAAAUAUUAGUUAUUUAAGAAUCAAAGACCCUCGAAAAUUCUCUAUUAUUAUUUAAGGAGGGGGCGAGAAUUUCCUAAGAUAAUUUUGUUAAGGAUAGCAACAUGUAAAAUAUCAAAGAUUAGUACGGGAGGUCGGUCUCCUUCCUUCCCCAUUGUAAUCCCGAGGCGGAGACAGUGAAGAGAAUCAAGCAUUCAAGCUGGGUGAGUCGGUUCACAAGGUCUGCAGGCUUCAGCACAAGGCUUAGGAUGCAUCGGCAUGUCCGCGUUCUAAGGGCACCCCAAGCCCGAUCCCGAUUUGAUCGCCUUGAUCCGCCAUGCCAUUAACAGUGGCGUCACUUUUCUUGGGUGCUUAGGGAACAAUUUAGCGAACAUUUUAGUUACAAACGUGCGUCGGUACGUGAAUUAUCCUUUUUGCUCGAGAUUAUUCAUUAUGACAAAUCCAAAAACAAUAACUAAAAGGGUGGCGGUUUUCUUGUGUUGAUCGCGUUUAGCCACUAGAACUGCUUUAACAAGUUAAUAUAAAUUUAAUAAGGAUGGGCUAUAUGCACUCUGAAAAUUAUUUUGAACACUCAUAUUUUUAUAAAAAAAUUUAUUACAAAAAUACCCACGAUAUAAAUUACUAUUAAAGUUACUUUAUUAUGAGCACAUAUAAUAUUAUUACUUUGGACAUUCAUUUAGGGCACUGCAAUUAAUGUUUAAUUUUCUUACUAUUUUAAAUCUUAAGUUUUUUCUUCCAAAUAUCUUAAAUAAAUAUCUUAUGUGUAGUAUUUACAAUUUAUCUUACGAUUUGCUUUAAAAUAUCUUAUGUGGCGUCUAUAUUCUUGUACAAUUUACUUUAAAAUAUUUUACAAUUUACUAUAAAAUAUUCAGUUGAUGAACAGGCGUCUGUAUUCUAUAUUUCAUGGAGGACAUGGCUUCAACUCAAAUUUCCAAUGUUAAUUCAGAAUGCAUAAUGGAUUAUACUAAUGAAUUCAUCAAUCAUAAGGUGGGUCUCAUUUUACAAUUCAUACGUCUAAUGUUCCUUUGUUAAUAUUUAUUUAUUUAUUUUAUAUGUAGAUAUUUAAAAGUAAGGAAGAGUUAAUUCAUUGGACUCGUGAAGUUGGGAGGAAAAAUGGUUUUAAUUAUGAUCAAGAGAUCUAAUUUUGGUAAUGGUGCUCAAAAACCAAGGAUCACCUUUUGUUGUGAGAGAAGUGGACAAUAUAGAAACACGAGAACAAAUGAAGAGAAUAAAAAAGAAAAGCAACCAAGGACUACUGGCACUAAGAGAUGUGGAUGUCCCUUUACAGUAAAUGGCCAUAAGUUGGACACUGAUGAUGAUUGGGUAUUAAAAGCAGUAUGUGGAGUACAUAAUCAUCCAGCUGCUGAGCAUCUUAAGGGGCAUUCUUAUGCAGGAAGAUUGUCAAAAGAAGAGACUUUGUUGUUAAUUGAUAUGUCUACGAUUAUGGUGCAUCCAAAAGAUAUUUUUAUUGACAUUGAAAAAGAAAAAUCCCAACAAUAUCUCAACAAUAAAGAAUAUUUAUAAUGCACGUCAAAGGUAUAAGGUAGCAGAGAUGGGUGGGAGAUCACAAAUGCAACUAUUAUUAAGUAAGUUAUCUGAACACAAGUAUAUUGAGUGGCAUAGAAGCUUUGAUAAUACUAAUAUUGUCAAAGACUUAUUUUGGGCGCAUCCUGUCAGUAUAGACUUGUUGCAUGCAUUUCCAUGUAUCUUACUGAUGGAUUGCACUUACAAGUGUAAUAGAUAUAAUCUUCCCCUACUGCAAAUUGUGGGAGUGACAUCCAUUGAGAUGACAUUUCCUGGUGCUUUUGCUUAUCUUGAAUCUAAGCGAGAAGACAACUGCACAUGGGCAUUGACUAGAUUAAAAAGUGUAUUGGAUGAUAGUGCUAUGCCUAGAGUCAUUCUUAGUGAUAGAGUCUUAGCUUUAAUUAAUGCCAUUGAAAGAGUAUUUCCCAAUGCAAAACAUUUGUUAUGUAGAUGGCAUGUAAACAAAAAUGUAAUUGCAAAGUGCAAGAAAUUGUUCGCAACAAAAGAGAUAUGAGAGAAGUUUAUGAUGAGUUGGAAUGUAUUGGUAUUUUCUUCCAGUGAAGAUGAAUUUAUUACUCGCUUCAAUGCUUUGCAACAAGAUUUUAUAUCCUAUCCACAAGCAAUCGAGUAUGUGACAUUUACAUGGUUGGAUAAAUACAAGGAAAAUUUUGUUUCAGCAUGGACAAACAAGAUCAUGCAUUUCGGAAACUUAACAACGAAUAGGUAUAAUUUUAUUUUCAUGCACCACUUCAUAGUUAGCCUAUCAAUUUAAAAUUCAUAUAUAUUAAUAAAUUUUUAAUUUUUAUUACUAUGGUGGAAAGUUCACAUUCGAGGCUUAAAAAGGAGCUUGGCACGAGUCAAGGUAAUUUUGAGACAUCUUGGACAAAGAUCCAUUCUUUAUUAGAGUUAUUACACACGAACAUCAAAGCUUCAUUUGAAAAAAGUUUGACAGUAGUACAACAUCAAUUCAAACCUGCUGAAUUUAAAGAGCUUCGAGGCUUUAUUUCUAUAGCUGCAUUGCAAAUGGUGUUAACUGAGUCGAAGCAUGCUAAUUCCAUUGGUAUUGAUGUGUCCGCGUGUGGUUGUACAAUUCGUAGUAUACAUGGUUUACCGUGUGCUCAUGAGAUUGCAGAAUAUAAAAGGGAAAGUCAACCUAUACCUUUAGAAUGUGUUGAUUCACAUUGGAAGAAACUUGACUUGAUUCAUAAUCAUAAUAAGAGAAAGGCAGAGAUGAGUUACCAACCGAUAUUUGACUUGAUUGCCAAACGCUUUAAUGAGAAUGAUGAUGAUACGAAGUUACAUAUUCUACAAAAGUUGACAGAAAUUGCUAAUCCUCAAUCUACAUCUCUUAUAGAACUAGAAGCUAAGAAAAAUACAUGUGGUCAACCAAAUUCAAAAGCUAAUGCAUCGACCCAUCGUGACCCAUCUGCUUUUGAGAUUGUUUUAUCAGGAAAAGAAAUUUGUUCGCCUACAAUUGCAUUCAUGAGACCUACAGUGAAAGUUAAUGGAAAUAAUCAACUAAAGCAAAAGGUAUUAUUUUAAUUGUAUUAGAAUUAUUAUAUAUAUUAGCAAAAGGUAUUGUUUUAAUUGUAUUAGAAUUAUACACACACACACACACACAUACACUUAUUUCUUAACUAUAAUUUGUAUUUUCACAUUUUUUCCCUCAUAUAUUGUUGCUAGGUGUAUAAAAAAAAAAUCGCUCAAGUCAAAUCCAUUUGUUAAUGAAUUUCCAGUUGCAUUGCAAUCAUACAUUCAUCAUAUUAAAGAUGUCGCACCUGAUGGUAAUUGUGGGUUUAGAACGCUAGCCGACUUAAUGGGUUUUGGUGAGAAUGGAUGGUUUCAAAUGAGGAAUGAUAUGCUAAAUGAGUUUUAGUUGAAUAUGGAGCAUUAUAGCCAUUUAUAUGGGACAUAUGAGAGAGUCAAUAUGAGAGAGUCAAUGAAUUAAUUCAUGCAAUAUCACAUUUUGAGAACUGUCCAGGAUCUGACAAAUGGAUGACAAUGCCUGACAUGGGACAUCUUAUUGCAUCAGCCUACAACGUUCUGGUAUUCCACUUAUCGAUGAAGCAAUGCCUUACCUUCCUUCCUCUUAGGUCCAAGCUAAUACCUACAGAUUCUCUUAAAGAGUUUGCUAUUGGUUUUGUAAAUAACAAUCAUUUUGUAGAGGUAUUUUUUUAAUAUUUUUUGAUUUUUAUGUUGAAUUUAAUAAGCAAUUCUACUAAUUGAAAUUAAUCAAACAUAUGUAGGUGUUCUUGUUAUCAGGCCAUCCUAUCCCCCCUUAAGCAAUCAAUUGGCAAAGAUUUCACAGUUUUUGUGCCAAAGGAUGGGAGACGAUAUAUAAUCAUCGCAUACAACAUUUCAAGGAAAUAAUUGGUGGCGACGUAGCUAUAAAAGAAGUAAUAAUAGAUGUUGACAAGAAUUAUCAAUAGAUUUCUUGAUAUAUUUUUUUGGACGAUUAAUUCUUUUUUGUAUGACUAUGAUUUGGCCAAAGGAUAUAAUGUUUAAUUGAUUUAUUUGUUUGAGUGUAUAUAGCAUUUUCAUGAGUGUGUAGAGUAAUUAAGAGGAUUAAUUUAAAAAGGAUUAAGUGAAGGCUUUGUUGGCAUUUUAAAGAGUGUACAGAGUAUAAUUUAUUUUCUUAAAAUUAAUAGAUGAGUGUACAUAGUAAUAGAGUGUUCAAAGUAAUUUUUAGAGUGUAUAUAGCCCCACCCAUUCAAUAAUUGACCAUAGUAGAUGGGUGUGAUUACACAAUGGUGAGGAAAACUACCCUACCACCAUUUUUGCAUGUCUUGCUCUAGAAGCAUCUUUUUACUUAUAGGUAUCAAUCAUGAACCAUUUACAUUACAUUAUGUGUUAAAACAAUCAGUAAAAACAUUCAUAAAAUACACAAGUACAAAAUAAUUAAUAAAACUUAAAAUAUUUUAAAAUUACUUAGUACGAGAUGAACGACCCAACAUCACGUAUCGUAUUUAGGUGAAAUUAAAAGUGAUUAUCGAAUCAGUUCGUUGUUGAUUUCAGUUCAUUGUUGAUUUUAAGAGAAUCAAAAAAACUAUAACCUAAAAUAAAUCUAAAUCUGAAUCAAACAUACACUGAUCAAUUGACUUUAGAUCGGUUUUUGGCUUAUUAUUAUUAUAAUUUUAUUCAUUUCUUAAUUUUUAGUUUUUAUUUUUAUUUUUUAUUCACCAAUAAUAACAUGACACAUAUUUGAAUUUAAAAAUAUAUUAAAUUUUUUGAUUUUCCGAUUCGGUUCAUGAUUCUAGAAUUAAGGGGAAAAAAGAAAAAAAAAAGAACCAAUUUUUUAUUGUGUCAAAAAACUGAACCAAAUUGAUAGUUUCUGGCCACAGGCGAGACACGUGACAAGAUUACAAUUAUGAACUUUCUGAUCAGUCAGUAGUAAGCCACGAAGCCUAGAGCCAAUAUCCAGAUUCCAGAAUAAAUUGUGGCGCGUUCCGAGAUAAAAGGAAACGUGCAAGAACAAGAAAUGAGGGGACCAGAUUUAACCCUUUAGAAUGAACGGGCAUCUCAAGCUAAUAGCUGAAAAUCUGUCCAUAGGUAGUGACAAAGAGGCACUGUUGAGGGGGUUCCAUUAUUCUUCGUUCGUUGAUCACUUUUCUUAUCAAUGGUGGCUUUUCCAUCAUAGGCGGAGGGAAACACCUUAGUGUUGCACUGUAACAGAACCAAGAACAUAUACACACCACACACACACACACACACACAAAUACAUCUUUCAGUGAGUGCCUUAACAUAAUAUAGUAUCAGUAACAGUAACAGUAACAAGGAAAUGGUGGGGACAGUGAAGAGAAUCAAGCUAGGUUCACAAGGUCUGGAGGUUUCAGCACAAGGCUUAGGGUGCAUGGCCAUGUCCUGUUUAUACGGGCCACCGGAGCCCGAACCCGAUAUGAUCGCUUUGAUCCACCAUGCCAUUAACAGUGGCAUCACUUUACUCGACACCUCCGAUAUUUACGGACCCUACACCAAUGAAAUCCUUGUGGGCAAAGUAAGAAUUAGCUUCUCUUUCACUCUUUCUUUUAAAGGGUAUGUUUAGAAUUGAGUGUAAAUAAAGGGUAGUUGGUGAAUUUAGCUGCCAAGUAAAAUUUGGGUGUCUGUUGAGCAAUUUAGUGCACAUUUUAGCUGCAAACGUAUUCCAAAU
This 13554-nucleotide long non-coding RNA is filed under the name Citrus x clementina. Its description in RNAcentral is "Citrus clementina (C. clementina) long non-coding RNA (CCLE_LNC000902)". Lineage: Eukaryota; Viridiplantae; Streptophyta; Magnoliopsida; Sapindales; Rutaceae. The record is from RNAcentral.